Leucoraja erinaceus (little skate) is the source of this 1341-nucleotide long non-coding RNA. RefSeq lists it as uncharacterized. The record is from RefSeq and is a predicted model, not a curated record. NCBI's taxonomy places the organism in Eukaryota, Metazoa, Chordata, Chondrichthyes, Rajiformes, Rajidae. The transcript has 5 exons.
AGGCGCCCGCCCAUUGGCCGCCGCGCGUCACGUGACGCGCUCCCGUCGUUUAAACACUUUUUUCUUCUCCCCCGUCGGCUUUUUUCCGGCUUUCCUCCCUCGAAAUGCAACAGUGACAUCGCGAUGCAUCGACUCCCGAACUGAAAUGGGAGGAUCCGGUAGAGAAAGUCGUUUCAUGCCAGUGGGGAAAUGGAUGACAUCCUAUGCGACUGAUGGGAGUCAGUGGACUGGUCCAUAGAGAAUCUUCGGCCAGCUUGAAUGAGUAUGGCACUGCAGUGACAUUCAACACUGGUGAAUGUACUGAGACAAACCCAAGACCAUGAGCGCAACUAUGUGAUGAAGACUAGUUUGCCGGGAAGAAAUCCUAGACACUCAGCACCUGUACUGAGGCAAAGGAUAAGUGGCCCGAGCAAUGCUGAGACAUCAGAACCUCUAUCUGCCCACGAACACACACUUACUACAGAGUCCGUCUGAGUUGCCUCUUCAAGCUCAUAGCUGAGCUGCCAGGAAGAAACCUGAGUCUGCCAGCGCCUCCUCAUGAGGCAAGGGUGAACUGCAAGAAGAAGCCUGAGAUCGUCAUGCCACCUCCUUCUGACCAGUAAGCUGUUGGGACAAGACCGAGAUAUGCCAGCAUCGUUGUACAUGCGCUCUAAUGGUGAGGGACAGCAUCCAUCUGCGGUCCUGGACUUUUUUACCACUGUAAAUAAAAUAUAUCAUGUUUGGACCACUUAAUUAUCUUGGGAGUUGCAAAUGGAAAUGAAGGGCGUGAAAGCAAGCGCCCCAAACUGAUCUUGUGAUGGAGAAAUUUUAUUCGACUGAGGUUCUAAUCUGAUCUAGAACACAAAUUGGACAUCAAUGGGCUGUUUAUUAUUGAAUGGACCCUUAAAUAAGGAAGGAACAGGACAGAAGUGAUGUGACCUUUUUGUUGCCUUGGAGGCUGAAACAAAUGUGUCAUACGAGAGGGAGAAGGUCUGAAAAUGAACCCCACUCCAAAGGAUGCUUAUGAUGUGUUAAUCAUCAUCUAGGAACUCAGCAAAUUCAUUUCACUUGCACUUUAUGUGCAAGUGACGAAUAAAAUAUGACUUGACUUGACUUGAGAAUCCAGCAUUUGUAAGCUACAAAAUAUUUAAGUGUACGAUAUCUUUCAGCCCAAGUUGAAUCUGUGCAGAACCUACAUUUUAUAGCUUGGAUGCUGGAGUACCUCACAAAAUGCUGGAGUAACUCAGAGGAACAGGCAGCCUCUCUGGAUGGAAGGAAUGGGUGACGUUUCGGGUCGAGGCCCUUCUUAGCUUUGACAACAUUUCCUCUUUUGCAAACGUAUCUUGUCAAUUAAACAAUUUU